This is a ribosomal RNA of 2907 nucleotides. It matches the Rfam family "Bacterial large subunit ribosomal RNA".
GUUGUAUGGUUAAGUGACUAAGCGUACACGGUGGAUGCCUUGGCAGUCAGAGGCGAUGAAGGACGUGCUAACCUGCGAAAAGCUGUGAGAAGUCGGUAAGAGACGUUAGACUCACAGAUGUCCGAAUGGGGAAACCCACCUGAUUUAUCAGGUAUCGUAUGAUGAAUACAUAGUCAUACGAGGCGAACCGGGAGAACUGAAACAUCUAAGUACCCCGAGGAAAAGAAAUCAACCGAGAUCCCCUUAGUAGCGGCGAGCGAACGGGGGCUAGCCCUUAAGUUGAUAAAGAGUUAGUGGAACGCUCUGGAAAGUGCGGCGAUACAGGGUGAUAGCCCCGUACACGAAAAGGCUUUAUCAAUGAAAACGAGUAGGACGGGACACGUGGUAUCCUGUUUGAACAUGGGGGGACCAUCCUCCAAGGCUAAAUACUCCUGACUGACCGAUAGUGAACCAGUACCGUGAGGGAAAGGCGAAAAGAACCCCUGUUAGGGGAGUGAAAUAGAACCUGAAACCGUGUACGUACAAGCAGUGGGAGCCCCUUCGUGGGGUGACUGCGUACCUUUUGUAUAAUGGGUCAGCGACUUACAUUCUGUAGCGAGGUUAACCGAAUAGGGGAGCCGUAGGGAAACCGAGUCUUAACUGGGCGAAUAGUUGCAGGGUGUAGACCCGAAACCGGGCGAUCUAUCCAUGAGCAGGUUGAAGGUUGGGUAACACUAACUGGAGGACCGAACCCACAAAUGUUGAAAAAUUUGGGGAUGACUUGUGGAUCGGAGUGAAAGGCUAAUCAAGCUCGGAGAUAUCUGGUUCUCCUCGAAAGCUAUUUAGGUAGCGCCUCGAGCGAAUACCAUUGGGGGUAGAGCACUGUUAAGGCUAGGGGGUCAUCCCGACUUACCAACCCUUUGCAAACUCCGAAUACCAAUGAGUACUACUCGGGAGACACACGACGGGUGCUAACGUCCGCCGUGAAAAGGGAAACAACCCAGACCACCAGCUAAGGUCCCAAAGUCAUGGUUAAGUGGAAAACGAUGUGGAAAGGCAUAGACAGCUAGGAGGUUGGCUUAGAAGCAGCCACCCUUUAAAGAAAGCGUAAUAGCUCACUAGUCGAGUCGGUCUGCGCGGAAGAUGUAACGGGGCUAAACCAUGCACCGAAGCUGUGGACUUGCACUAUGUGCAAGUGGUAGAGGAGCGUUCUGUAAGCCGUUGAAGGUGACUCGUGAGGGUUGCUGGAGGUAUCAGAAGUGCGAAUGCUGACAUAAGUAACGAUAAGGGGAGUGAAAAACUUCCCCGCCGGAAGACCAAGGGUUCCUAUCCCAUGCUAAUCAGGGUAGGGUAAGUCGGCCCCUAAGGCGAGGGCGAAAGCCGUAGUCGAUGGGAAACGGGUUAAUAUUCCCGUACCGACAAUACUGCGAUGGGGGGACGGAGAAAGCUAGGCAGGCAUGGCGUUGGUAGUCCAUGUGAAAGUGCGUAGGAAGGGGGAUUAGGCAAAUCCGGUUCCCUAUAUUCUGAGACACGAGACGAGCCACUACGGUGGUGAAGCUGUUGACGCUACGCUUCCAGGAAAAUCCUCUAAGCUUCAGGUAUUGUCGACCGUACUCGAAACCGACACAGGUGGUCAGGUAGAGCAUACCAAGGCGCUUGAGAGAACUCUGGUGAAGGAACUAGGCAAAAUAGUACCGUAACUUCGGGAGAAGGUACGCUCUUGUGGGUGAAGGACUUGCUCCGUAAGCCUAUGAGAGUCGCAGUGACCAGCUGGCUGCAACUGUUUAUUAAAAACACAGCACUCUGCAAACUCGUAAGAGGACGUAUAGGGUGUGACACCUGCCCGGUGCCGGAAGGUUAAUUGAUGGGGUUAGCGCAAGCGAAGCUCUUGAUCGAAGCCCCGGUAAACGGCGGCCGUAACUAUAACGGUCCUAAGGUAGCGAAAUUCCUUGUCGGGUAAGUUCCGACCUGCACGAAUGGUGUAAUGAUGGCCAGGCUGUCUCCACCAGAGACUCAGUGAAAUUGAAAUUGCGGUGAAGAUGCCGUAUACCCGCGGCUAGACGGAAAGACCCCGUGAACCUUUACUAUAGCUUGGCACUGAACAUUGACCCUACAUGUGUAGGAUAGGUGGGAGACUUUGAAGUUGGAACGCCAGUUCUGAUGGAGUCGUCCUUGAAAUACCACCCUUGUAUGUUUGAUGUUCUAACGUAGGCCCCUAAUCGGGGUUGCGGACAGUGUCUGGUGGGUAGUUUGACUGGGGCGGUCUCCUCCUAAAGAGUAACGGAGGAGCACGAAGGUUGGCUAAGUACGGUCGGACAUCGUACGGUUAGUGCAAAGGCAGAAGCCAGCUUAACUGCGAGACAGACACGUCGAGCAGGUACGAAAGUAGGUCUUAGUGAUCCGGUGGUUCUGUAUGGAAGGGCCAUCGCUCAACGGAUAAAAGGUACUCCGGGGAUAACAGGCUGAUACCGCCCAAGAGUUCAUAUCGACGGCGGUGUUUGGCACCUCGAUGUCGGCUCAUCACAUCCUGGGGCUGAAGUCGGUCCCAAGGGUAUGGCUGUUCGCCAUUUAAAGUGGUACGCGAGCUGGGUUUAGAACGUCGUGAGACAGUUCGGUCCCUAUCUGCCGUGGGCGUUGGAUGAUUGAUUGGAGUUGUUCCUAGUACGAGAGGACCGGAAUGAACGAACCGCUGGUGUUCGGGUUGUCAUGCCAAUGGCACUGCCCGGUAGCUACGUUCGGAACGGAUAACCGCUGAAAGCAUCUAAGCGGGAAGCCGGCCAAGAGAUGAGUCAUCCCUUGUACCUUGAGUACACAUAAGGGUCGUUGGAGACCACAACGUUGAUAGGUGAGGUGUGGAAGCGCAGUGAUGUGUUAAGCUAACUCAUACUAAUUGCCCGAGAGGCUUAACCAUACAACGCCCAAGGUGUU